This is a long non-coding RNA of Carya illinoinensis, 993 nucleotides long. RefSeq lists it as uncharacterized. The transcript is spliced from 2 exons. The record is from RefSeq and is a predicted model, not a curated record. NCBI's taxonomy places the organism in Eukaryota, Viridiplantae, Streptophyta, Magnoliopsida, Fagales, Juglandaceae.
CACAUAGGACCCAACAUUCUCUUUGGUUUGAUGAAAGAUAUGCAUUUGGGUCAGUUUCUUUCCUUUCAGUUUUCACGCAUGGGUUAAAGACAACAAGCCUUCUUCUUUUCAUUUUGGAUUUUACGGAAGCAACGCAGUAAGUUUAAUAUUAUUUUUUGGAGUCUUUUGUUUUGGAUGGACAUGCAGCGCGAGGGGUUCUUUGGUCUUUUAUGGUCAUAGACGCAUGCCCGUGGGUUGUUUUUGAAAAAAAAUUCAAGGCUGGUUGGUUAAAAAACUCAUUUUUAUGCCAACCAACAACUAUUAGCCACGUAAGAGGUCCAACCUUCAAACACCUACAUCUGACUUUUCAGAAUCCUUCCUCUCCCAUUCCACUCAUCGCCCCCUUUCUGAAGAGUUCUCCAGUUCCAUUCACAGCGCUAGCCAACUUUUUGAGCUUUCUUCCCUUCCCAGCCCCCUUUCGUUCGUCACCCAACAUGAUUCUAACGAGAUCAACUCAUCUCUCACAGUCGAUUUCCCCACCCCUCCCACUUGCGGUGCUGAUUUCACCACGCCCUCCCUCUCGCGCAGUCUUAUCUUUGAGUGGGUUGUGCCGUUGAAGUAAUGGGCCAGAAACUCCACUAAAGAUUUUAAUGGUGUGAGUGGUCUCUAUCCUUCUUUUAGUGUUCUAUUUGCCCCCAGUUUUCUACUAUCUCCGCAUUGGGGUUUCUUUGGGGCCAUGGGAGCUGUUUUAUGAGGUUUCACACAUGGCUUUUUGAUUUUGGACAAACGCUUUAGAGAUAAUGGGGUAAUGAAGUUGGGUUAGUGUUUUGGUCAACUUCGGUUGACUCUUGUUUGGUCUUUGCUAUCUAAUGUAUUGAUCUUCCGAUUCUUAGGCUAGUUUUUAGCUGCCCGUGACUUUCUUUACAUGGGUAUUCGAUUUUAAAUGUUAGUUUUGGGAUAUUACAAAGUAACUUUACUGAAUAAUCAGAUUGACUUCGUGUUUUAUGUUUUGAA